UAACACUUGCCAGUUCGUAACAAGGUAACCGCUAGCAAUCCUGGUGGCGAGUGGCGAACGGGUGAGUAAUACAUCGGAACGUGCCCAAUCGUGGGGGAUAACGCAGCGAAAGCUGUGCUAAUACCGCAUAAGACCUACGGAUGAAAGCAGGGGACCCGCAAGGGCCUUGCGCGAAUGGAGCGGCCGAUGGCAGAUUAGGUAGUUGGUGAGGUAAAGGCUCACCAAGCCUUCGAUCUGUAGCUGGUCUGAGAGGACGACCAGCCACACUGGGACUGAGACACGGCCCAGACUCCUACGGGAGGCAGCAGUGGGGAAUUUUGGACUAUGGGCGAAAGCCUGAUCCAGCCAUGCCGCGUGCAGGAUGAAGGCCUUCGGGUUGUAAACUGCUUUUGUACGGAACGAAAAGGUCUUUUCUAAUCCACGAGGGCCCAUGACGGUACCGUAUCAAUAAUCACCGGCUUAACUACUUGCCUUCUUCCGCGAUAAUACGUAUGGUUGCAUGCGUUAAUCGGACUUAAUGGGCGUAAAGAGUGCCCAUGCGGUUAUAU
RNAcentral lists this ribosomal RNA (548 nucleotides) under uncultured bacterium. Its description in RNAcentral is "bacterial SSU rRNA". It matches the Rfam family "Bacterial small subunit ribosomal RNA", at positions 49 to 584 of the family's 1533-position model. The record is from RNAcentral.